RNAcentral lists this ribosomal RNA (261 nucleotides) under uncultured archaeon. Its description in RNAcentral is "partial 16S ribosomal RNA". It matches the Rfam family "Archaeal small subunit ribosomal RNA", at positions 748 to 1008 of the family's 1478-position model. The record is from RNAcentral.
CAGCCGUAAACUAUGCGCGUUAGGUGUGCUGGUGACCACGUGUCACCGGGGUGCCGAAGGGAAACCGUGAAACGUGCCGCCUGGGAAGUACGGUCGCAAGGCUGAAACUUAAAGGAAUUGGCGGGGGAGCACCGCAACGGGAGGAGCGUGCGGUUUAAUUGGAUUCAACACCGUAAAACUCACCAGGGAAGACUGUUACAUGAAAGCCGAGAUGAAGACUCUGCUAGAUUUUCAGAGAGGAGGUGCAUGGCGUCAGUGACU